AUGGGUUCCGUGUCACCCGGGUUCCGUGUCACCUGGGUUCUGUGCCAAAUGGGUUCUGUGUCACCUGGGUUCUGGGUCACCUGGGUUCUGUGCCAAAUGGGUUCCGUGUCACCCGGGUUCUUUGUCACCUGGGUUCUGUGCCAAAUGGGUUCCGUGUCACCCGGGUUCUUUGUCACCUGGGUUCUGUGCCAAAUGGGUUCCGUGGCACCUGGGUUCUGGGUCACCUGGGUUCUGGGUCACCUGGGUUCCGUGCCAAAUGGGUUCCGUGUCACCCGGGUUCUUUGUCACCUGGGUUCUGUGCCAAAUGGGUUCCGUGUCACCCAGGUUCCGUGCCAGAUGGGUUCUGUGCCAAAUGGGUUCCGUAUCACCUGGGUUCUGGGUCACCUGGGUUCUGUGUCAAAUGGGUUCCAUGUCACCCGGGUUCCGUGGCACCUGGGUUCUGUGCCAAAUGGGUUCCUUGUCACCCAGGUUCUUUGUCACCUGGGUUCCAUGUCACCCGGGUUCCGUGUCACCUGUGUUCUGUGCCAACUGGGUUCUGUAUCACCUGGGUUCCAUGUCACCUGGGUUCCGUGUCACCUGGGUUCCGUGUCACCUGGGUUCUGGGUCACCCGGGUUCCAUGUUACCUGGGUUCCAUGUCACCCAGGUUCCGUGCCACCUGGGAUCCGUGUCACUUGGGUUCCGUGUCACCAAGGUUCCAUAUCACCUGGGUUCCGUGUCACCUGGGUUCUGGGUCACCUGGGUUCCAUGUCACUCGGGUUCUGUGUCACCUGUGUCCUGUGCCAACUGGGUUCUGGGUCACCUGGGUUCCACAUCACCUGGGUUCCGUGUCACUUGGGUUCUGUAUCACCUGGGUUCCGUGUCACCUGGGUUCCAUGUCACUGUGUCACCUGGGUUCUGUGCCAAAUGGGUUCCAUGUCACUGUGCCAAAUGGGUUCCUUGUCACCCAGGUUCCGUGUCACCUGUGUUCUGUGUCACCCGGGUUCCGUGUCACCAGUGUUCUGUGCCAAUUGGGUUCCGUGUCACCUGGCUUCCAUGUUACUCUGUCACCUGGGUUCCAUGUCACUCAGGUUCCGUGUCACUGGGCUCUGUGUCACCUGUGCUUUGUGUCACCUGGGUUCCGUGUCACCUGGGUUCCAUGUCACUGUGCCAAAUGGGUUCCGUGUCACCCAGGUUCUGUGUCACCUGGGCUUCGUAUCACCUGGGUUCCGUGUUAUCCGGGUUCCAUGUCACUGUGUCACCUGGGUUCUGUGCCAAAUGGGUUCCAUGUCACCCAGGUUCCGUGUCACUGGGCUCUGUGUCACUUGGGUUCCUUGUCACCUGUGUUCCAUGUCAUAUAG
Molecule: long non-coding RNA, 1338 nt
Filed under: Chrysolophus pictus (golden pheasant)
Lineage: Eukaryota; Metazoa; Chordata; Aves; Galliformes; Phasianidae
Description: lncRNA (ENSCPIG00010013736.1)
Source: RNAcentral